AAUUCACUUGCCUAUGACAAGCCCGGACCAACUUAUAAGUUGACAUUCAUAAUGCUUCUGCAGAUGCUGAGAAAAUAGAAGAAACAGGACUUAGGAUACCCCAUUCCUGGAGGAGAUGGAGAACUAAGAAAUGUGGUAACAACUGGAGAGCUUCCUUCAGAACCUCCCAACACCAAGCUAGAUCUGGCAAUGUGUGAAUCAACCUCAUCAUCGGUGUGUACAUCCCUGGAAAGCAAACUGCCAAGCAUCUGACAGCGUGGCCAAAAAUAUCAUGCCAAAAAGCAUGGGAGCAAGCACCACCCAGCCCUGCUUCACUCUCUUGAUAA
Phascolarctos cinereus (koala) is the source of this 326-nucleotide non-coding RNA. Lineage: Eukaryota; Metazoa; Chordata; Mammalia; Diprotodontia; Phascolarctidae. The record is from RefSeq and is a predicted model, not a curated record.